Molecule: ribosomal RNA, 324 nt
Filed under: Pseudophialocephala xalapensis
Lineage: Eukaryota; Fungi; Ascomycota; Sordariomycetes; Chaetosphaeriales; Chaetosphaeriaceae
Description: Phialocephala xalapensis partial 28S ribosomal RNA
Rfam family: Eukaryotic large subunit ribosomal RNA
Source: RNAcentral
UUGACCUCGGAUCAGGUAGGGAUACCCGCUGAACUUAAGCAUAUCAAUAAGCGGAGGAAAAGAAACCAACAGGGAUUGCCUCAGUAACGGCGAGUGAAGCGGCAACAGCUCAAAUUUGAAAGCUGCCAACAGGCCGCAUUGUAAUUUGUAGAANAUCUUUGGGUGUCGGUCCAGUCUAAGUUCCUUGGAACAGGACUCAUAANAGGGUGAGAAUCCCNUAUGUGAUUGGUGCCGGUACCCNUGUAANGCUCUUUCAACAANNCAANUUUUUGGAAANCACCUCAAAAUGGNUGGUAAAUUUNACCUAAAGCUAAAUUUUGCCCG